This is a non-coding RNA of Anas platyrhynchos (mallard), 7334 nucleotides long. The record is from RefSeq and is a predicted model, not a curated record. Lineage: Eukaryota; Metazoa; Chordata; Aves; Anseriformes; Anatidae.
GCAGGUUUGCAGAGAGGAUGUUUCAGUGAAGGGGACGUUCUGCUGCAUUCUGGUGGAGGGCUGUCAGAGCAGGCAGAGCCAGGAUGCUGAAGCCCAGCACCACAAACUGACAGGACUGCCUGGGAUUGGUGACAUCUAGAGUGAUACGUGUUGGAUCAUCAGAAGAGAGUGGGAGCAGCACAGCUUGGCUUCGGGAACCUAAAAAUAGGCUGGGGAUUCCUCACCUGUGUCACCCAACCCACUCUGGGACCAUGAAGUAAUCCAAAUGGGGAUUUUGUCCACACUGACUGCUGCGUUGGCAUUCACAGGUUCUUGGCGUUACCACUUGAGUUCCCCUUUCUUUUUCCAAAGGUGGGGACUGGUGUCUGUUGCUCACCCCACUGCCCUGUUCCAUUGCCUGUAUUUUUUUGCAAACUGCUUCUGAAUGCUGCAGACCUUUAUCUUACUCCGCUCUGUUGCAGACUUUCAGAUUUUUGGGCCUGCCUUCUCUCAGUCAGUGUUAGAGUAGACACAGUGACUUUCCAGUGCUGUUUUAACAGAUUGGUUCACUAACCUCAGACCCGUGGUUUGAAAGGUGGUCUCCAAGUCAGCCGCUGGCAGUGCAACAGAUCCAGUACUGGGCUUGCUGUUGCUCAUGGUAAUUGUGAGUCAAAAAUCUACUUUGAAGUGGUUUGUUCCAAAACCCAGUCAGGACCUGGUUUAUCAUUUGAGUUCAGUUUGUCUUUCAGCAGUGUAAAUACAUUAUCCAUGUUAGAGAAUCAUAGAGCUUUCUGUGCUCAGUCGUUCUUUACAUACAUCAAACCUGUUAUUUUUAGGUGAAGUGCAAGAUUUCUUACAUAUGUCACAGUCCGUAUUGUACACCUGCAUCAGCUGAAAAUCAGAAAAGCCUUUCCUGCAUGCAAACUGGCUGGAGCCAGGAACAAGACUAACUGCUUCAUCUGCCUGGUUUGGAAAUUGCUCACAGUGAGGAAUUUGCCUCACAUGGUGUUGGAGUUCUCACUGCUCGCUUCCUGCAGCAGGAGCCUGGGCACAGCAUUUGCUUCUUCAGGAGUCUUCUGGGGGCACUGUACCCCCGCGGGCUAUUACAUUUGUCAGAAACUGUAUGUAACACUUAAAAAAAAAAAAAAAAAAAAAGAGAGAGAGAGAGAGAGAAUAAGAAACUGGGAGUUUUAUGUGAGUCUUUUUUUUUUUUUUCCUUCGGUAUUUUUUGCAGCUUUAUUUUUAAGCUAAGAAUUACACAUGAGCUCUGCUCUUUAGUAAAAACACACAUUAACACCAGUAGUAGCAGUAAACAUCAGAAGUGUGUCAGUAAUACUGUGUCUUCUCCCAUGCUGUCUUCUCCAAAAGUAACACUUCCUAGAGUGACCUGGCAGCAGGAGAAGUAUUGGCUCACGGCAGAUAUUGUGACGACAACCCCAGAAUGACCCGGUGACUGUUACCUGCUAUUUGGUGAGUGGCUCAAGGUCAGAAGGAAAAAGCUGGACUACCAUUUGAGAGGGUGGCUUAGACAAAACUAACAGAUCGUGAAGCAAGCAGCAGCCUGAAAGAAGGCUUUGGAGGCAGAUUGCAGCCAUUUGGGGCUAGAAAAACAUUAGAUUCGUGAGAAAGCUUUUCUUCCACUGUCAAAUAUAUCUUAUUUGUUACCUGCCUCAGAGGGCUCACAUCUGAAAAAUGCCAUUUCUUUUCUUCCUGGAAUGUAAAUGUUCAUUCUAGAUGGUAUAGACAUAAACCUCAAUUUCUCUUCAGCCCUCAAUGGAGGUUUUUGAAUGUGGAAUGAGUCUUUUUGAGAAAUGGAUUUCUUGGUGAAUAAAGCUCUUCUGUACUUUCAGAAAUGAAGGGUGCUUCUGAUAGCCUUCACCUCUUUUCUCUACUAUUUCUCCUUUUUUAGCAAUGUGAGUUUGUUCCAAACAUCUGAAUUCUCACUGGUCUUUGGGAGUGAUGCUUUUUAGCUGAAUGCCUUUGUGAGUGUGAAGGCAUUUUGCUUUUACACAAAAUGUGUGCUACCUGCAUAGCGUAAGAAUAUUUUCCUCCCAGGCUACCUUGCCAACAUGUACCUCACACUACACUGAAGGAGGACAUGCCAUUUCAACCUUCGGUCCUUCUCAGAGCAUCCUCCUUCCCAGAAAUGUGCGUCAAGUGGAGGGGGAAGUAGGUGGUGCGACAGCCUGGGCAACGUUUUCUUACAGUGUAGUGCUACCUUCUUGCUAGGAAGUGACUUAGCACCUUCACCUCUUCUGGGGCAAGGCACUUGACUGCCAAUGGGCAGUGAUUUUCCAAAACCACUGAUCUCUGGUGGUAUGAACUAGUAACCUCAUUUAGUUUUCUGCAGUUCCCACUGCUCCCUUUAAGUGUUUCUGAAUGUCUUUGUGUCUCUCUUGGACACAAAGUCGCAUUCUGACCUCUUUGAAACUCAUUUCAUAUUUCUUAGAAUCAAUAGACUUCAAAUGCAGUAGCAGAAAUACCAACUAGUCAAUAAGUGCAGUCAAGUUAUGUUAGAAGUAAAAGCAAUGUGUUGUAAGGGCAACAUUUUCCUAAGGAACUGCUAUUCGGGCAUAUUUGUUGUUUCAAUUAGUCUGAUUUAGUGGCUCAGUCAGGGGGCUGCAGCCUGUAGCACUCAGACUGUAAUUUGAUUUCUAAAGCUGCCGUUCAGGUACUAAGGAAAUCAAAGUGUGUGGUAAAACCACAUCGUGACAGCAGACGUACAGCCCCUGAUGUGCUUAACGUGCUGUGGAUCUGUCAGGAAGAUACAAGGGUUCACGGCACGAUCACCCGCAUUUCGUACCCCAUCAGAGGUGCAUGUUUUGCUCUCCUGGCUUUGAUCACUGCUCCCCUGGGAGGAGCAUGGAGCGGUGGCAGAAUGGUGGUGUUUUUCCAGAACUGUUGCCCUGAAGGGAUAUUUAAACGAAAAAAAGAAAGUAAAAUUAACGUGUGUGAAAAGUGCCAGAUUGACAGCCUUAGCGAGUAAAACACUUUACCUAUUUGAAGGCUACCCACGUUUUAUCUGCUCGAGCUGUCAGUGCAGUACCACUCCUUAGCGUGAAAUGUUUAUUAUUAUUUUUAAAGCUGUCCCUUGUUUCUCCAAAUUGCUCAGUCCUGCAUCUGAGAAAGAUUCAGGCAGUACUAAUGGGGGUAAGAAGCCGGACUUCUGAAACCUAGGAAGAAACACUGGCAAAUUUGCCCUGCUUUUGGAGAUACUUGAAAUUUGCAGGAGGCUAGAAACGAUUUUACAAUAAAAUUUAUGCAGAAUGUUUCAAGGCGUAGCUCUGCUUUCAAACUAGAAACUGCUGGGAACAGGAGCUUGUUUCUUAGCAAAUCAGGGCUGUAUCGCUGCUGUUACUCUGCAAAGAGACUUGCUCGCUCUCCUCCACGAGCUACGUAACCGAGCUUUUGUCUGGACUUUUGCAGCAUGCUCAGGUGCUGCAGCAUGACUCCCUGCCUUUCGUGGCAGGAAGGUGCAACAUUUGAUUCUUGCUUAUAGAAGUAACACAAAGUUUGAAUCUGAACACCUGAAAUAUUCCAGCCGAGUCCAGUUUAAAGCUACCAUUGUCAUAGCCAGAAACUGAGCUCUGUCCUAAGGGUGGGCAUGUGUCCCCUGUGGGGUCACCACGUUCAGCUGUUCACAGAUCCUGGGGCAGGAGGUCACUGACAAAAGACCAGCCCUCCGGGAGAAAUUAAGAAGCCCAAUACAAUAUCUCUUCCAUAAAAUAUCCAUUACAUUUUUAGGAAAUGCCUUCACAGAAUUUGAAAGAGUGAUGAGAUUUUGAGUAGCAUUCUAACAGGAGGGAGGAGACCCCACACUUGAAAGGGAUACCUGCUAAGCGUAUGAAUAAGGUAGUUGCUCAUUACAAACAGGACUCUGUCCCAGUCCAGAUUUGUGUUCUGGAUGUCAGUAUUCUUACCUGUUUCUGCACAUCUGUCUUCACUGUAUUGUAUUAGUGGUGUGUGCCAUUGUUCCUGAACUGUUAAAAUCGUGGGCUGAGGUAAUUUUGUUUGUAUUUACUGUACUGUCACAAGGCUGUACUAACUGCUAUUCUUCAGUUUCUGUGGUUUAAGAUGGGGGUACUUCAGUCAGUAUUUUUCAACAGGAGCCUUUUUAUCUAUAUCCUUCCUUCGGUUUUAAAGAUCUGAAGCAGGAGUGUGAGAUACAACCCAGCCAUGACUGACCUAUAGCAGCACCAGACACUUACGGGAGCUGUCUCACUUCCCCACCUUUCCCGGCACAGAGACAAGGAGAAAAUGUGGUAGGAUUUACAUGGCAUUGAAAGACUAGGACUCAAAGAGAUGUGAAAUUUGUCUUUGUGGUGGACCUGCUGGACUACCUUCAGUGAUUCAUAACACCUUCCCUUGGUUCGGUUUUCCUCCUAACUUCUCUGAGGAAAGGACCUGCUGUUAUUGUGUGAUCGUAUGGUGUCUAAUACAAUAGGACCAACCUCAGGUAAGACCUUUAGGCACUCCCAUUAUACGAAUGAGAACAAGAUUGUUGGUGUCAGUAAUUAACAUUCUUGUGGGAUUGUUGGAAAUGCUUUGGGAUAAACACCACCUGGAAUCCUUGCCUGGCUUAUGUGGUUUUUAAGCUGCAGAGGAGGUUGAUCCUGUUCACAGGAGAGGGCAUGGAUCGUCUGUCUCUUCUCUUUCUGGGUGUGGAAAAAGUCUUUCAGUCCAAAAACACAUUACAGCACCUCAGUGAGAAGUGGGAUGCUGGAAAAGCAAGGGCAUUGUCAGUGGGGGAAAAGAAUGGAGGCUCGGUUAUCAGCGUGGCUCCACAAAUGAUCUCACCUGAGGACAAAGACUAUAUGACAAUCACCAAAACAGGGAGAAAAACACCAAACUAAGUGUCGCUGAUAACAUUGUGAAUGCCUGUGGCACGGUGUUAUCCCAUGACAAGCUUCCGGAGAUGAAAUCUGGCUCUGGUUCAAUGGAUGGCAAAACUCCCACUGACUGCAGUAACAUCAGGCUUUCCCCUUGGGGUUGCCUGCAUUUCUCUGCUUUUGAGUGCCCAGACAGCCGCAUCCCACAUCAUUAUGCACAUUCUGAUAACAAAUAAAUUAUUCUUUAAAGCAUGGAUUGGAUUCAGUAAGCCCUGCAUUUUGGAUUCUAUUUUCCCUCUAUCUGCACCUGAAAUCCCCGAAUAAACAAACACUGGAUUAGAUCUAAACAGCAACUCUGCUCAGUAAACGAAGCCAUUAAAAGCAUUUCACACCAACUGCUCUGCUCCUAUUUCAGACUCUGUUAAACACGGAGUCAAGCUAAGAAGCUCAGUCGUCCUUCUCAAACUUUCCAGGAGACUAACCGUAGUUAUUGGAAGGUCUGCCUCCAUUUGCCACCCUCUCUAGCUCCAAGUGAGGAGUCGGAAUUGUCCAGCUGUUGACAUCAGGAAGGACAUAAAUAUGUGCUGGGGUUAGAGGCUUUUUGGCAAAUGGCCUGCUAACCUAGAAUUUGCUCUGCAAAGUUGGGAGGAUGACUUUUAACCUCCAAGCAGUUUUCAAAACCACAUCGGUCACCAAUAAAUAUGAAAAAUUAAAAAAAAAAUCUUGUCCCUACUGAAUGAUGAAGGAGAACAGACCUGGGCUCUGUGGUGCUGCGAUCAGUAUGAAGACCAAUAUAGGCAUAAGCAAACUGGUUGCCAGAAUAAGUUUGUGGUUGUUGCUCAUACCUCAUACACCAGGGAGGCAGCACUAGAGAUUAAACUUAAGGUGAGUACCUAAAAGAUGUAAAUCUAAAUGAGUCACGUCUUUGUGCUGCAGCUCCUUCUUACCCCAGAAUUGCCUUAACUAGCUGUUUGAGGAUGCCCAAUAAUGGGAAAUUCUCUAGAUAACAAUAAAUUGGUAUAACAGUUCUGUGCCACCUGACGUCCUGCUAAGCACUGGAGAAGUCAUGAUCAGAAAAACGGACACAACUAGAGCACCACUGACCAGUCCAAUCCUAAUUUCAUUGCUUUUCUUGUCGGCAACAGAUAACACAGUGCAAUUUACAGCAGCCCUGGAAUGUACGGUAGUCCUCGGUGGAAGCCUCAUUACUGGGAGUCACAAAAGGAGUUUUGAUGCUGAAGCCCCUUCCUGGAGCAGCAGUUGCCAACCUGAGCCACAGCGCUUUCUUUUCUUGCAGUUACUUGGAAGGCCAUCAGCAAUGUGGAAACUUAUCCUAAAUGAGGAAAGAAAUAAUUUGGCUCUCCUGCACGUAGUCCAGCGCUGCAAGAGGAUGCGGUACGUUCUCGGCCCAAAGAUAUUUUUCAAAGGACAUUUACCUCUGGCCUGACGGCAGGAAUGACAGAAGACCUUUUUGAAGUUUGACCUGAGGUAUGAAUUUCAGAUGCUUUCAUUUCAGCACAAUAGUUACUCUGGCAUUAUUAAAGGUGACUGAAGAUGGGAUUUUAUGACAGGAAUUGCUAACCAGCUUCGAUAAUAGUUACACUUCCAGAGCCACCUUUUAAUCAGGGCUUCUUUUCUCAGUAUAAAUGAUCACAGUUCAUUGAUGGUAAUCCUUCUGGCAUAUCAACCAUCAGCUUAACGUGGCAAGCAUUAACAUGGAGAAAACCAAACAUCCUUCUGAGGAGGUAAUUAUUCACCACUGUGAGAACGCUCCAGGAUAUUUUCAGUGGAGGACAAGCCUCCCGCUUCCUGACAGAAACACUGGACAAAAUUAUAAAAUAAUGAAGCAGGUUUCACAAAGAAAAACACUUUGGUAUUAGCUGACGCUUUGCAGUCAUGCUGGUGUUCAAGUAAUCAUGCACAUCUCUGCAUCUGUAGGUGCAGAGAUUCACACGUGCACAGGUGUGCUGUGUCAGGCUUCUGCCUUGCAGAAAAGCCUUUAAAUGCACAAAUCUGCAAAUUCCGCUGCCUCAGGGCUCACUUCAGUGGAGCAUCACCGGUGCCUGCAUGGAGAGGGACACCCUUGCCAAAUGGUAAUCAAGGCAAACGGCAAACUUUCCUGUAAUCAGUCCUCAGCUCCUCAGCAGCAGUGUUAGGAUGAGUGUUAAACCUGAAGAAACGAUUUUAAACAUGGGUUGUUUUUUGUGAUAGAAGUGUACUUUUUGGGGAGAUGUACCCAAUUAGCUGUGUUUUGCUGUUGCAGUGCCCCAGGGGCAUGGUUAUUGCAGGGUUUCCGCACCACUUCUUGAGCCUCAGCGCUACGUAAUUAUGCACUGAAGGAGACGAUUCAAUUAGUCAAUAAUAAAACGAGGUGCAAGGAUAGCGUACAGAGCGUAAAAAUGUCAUUUAGUGGGCAGCAGGCCAUGAUGGAAAAUAUAUAAGGGUACACUUCAGAUGAUUAAUGGAGGAGGAAUGUAUAUUUAUAGCUCUCAUUGUGUCCUUUGUAAGGAUACGCAAUGCAACAGU